RNAcentral lists this ribosomal RNA (1438 nucleotides) under Vibrio neocaledonicus. RNAcentral's name for it is "bacterial SSU rRNA". It matches the Rfam family "Bacterial small subunit ribosomal RNA". Lineage: Bacteria; Pseudomonadati; Pseudomonadota; Gammaproteobacteria; Vibrionales; Vibrionaceae. The record is from RNAcentral.
GGCUACACAUGCAGUCGAGCGGAAACGAGUUAUCUGAACCUUCGGGGAACGAUAACGGCGUCGAGCGGCGGACGGGUGAGUAAUGCCUAGGAAAUUGCCCUGAUGUGGGGGAUAACCAUUGGAAACGAUGGCUAAUACCGCAUGAUGCCUACGGGCCAAAGAGGGGGACCUUCGGGCCUCUCGCGUCAGGAUAUGCCUAGGUGGGAUUAGCUAGUUGGUGAGGUAAGGGCUCACCAAGGCGACGAUCCCUAGCUGGUCUGAGAGGAUGAUCAGCCACACUGGAACUGAGACACGGUCCAGACUCCUACGGGAGGCAGCAGUGGGGAAUAUUGCACAAUGGGCGCAAGCCUGAUGCAGCCAUGCCGCGUGUGUGAAGAAGGCCUUCGGGUUGUAAAGCACUUUCAGUCGUGAGGAAGGUGGUGUAGUUAAUAGCUGCAUUAUUUGACGUUAGCGACAGAAGAAGCACCGGCUAACUCCGUGCCAGCAGCCGCGGUAAUACGGAGGGUGCGAGCGUUAAUCGGAAUUACUGGGCGUAAAGCGCAUGCAGGUGGUUUGUUAAGUCAGAUGUGAAAGCCCGGGGCUCAACCUCGGAAUAGCAUUUGAAACUGGCAGACUAGAGUACUGUAGAGGGGGGUAGAAUUUCAGGUGUAGCGGUGAAAUGCGUAGAGAUCUGAAGGAAUACCGGUGGCGAAGGCGGCCCCCUGGACAGAUACUGACACUCAGAUGCGAAAGCGUGGGGAGCAAACAGGAUUAGAUACCCUGGUAGUCCACGCCGUAAACGAUGUCUACUUGGAGGUUGUGGCCUUGAGCCGUGGCUUUCGGAGCUAACGCGUUAAGUAGACCGCCUGGGGAGUACGGUCGCAAGAUUAAAACUCAAAUGAAUUGACGGGGGCCCGCACAAGCGGUGGAGCAUGUGGUUUAAUUCGAUGCAACGCGAAGAACCUUACCUACUCUUGACAUCCAGAGAACUUUCCAGAGAUGGAUUGGUGCCUUCGGGAACUCUGAGACAGGUGCUGCAUGGCUGUCGUCAGCUCGUGUUGUGAAAUGUUGGGUUAAGUCCCGCAACGAGCGCAACCCUUAUCCUUGUUUGCCAGCGAGUAAUGUCGGGAACUCCAGGGAGACUGCCGGUGAUAAACCGGAGGAAGGUGGGGACGACGUCAAGUCAUCAUGGCCCUUACGAGUAGGGCUACACACGUGCUACAAUGGCGCAUACAGAGGGCGGCCAACUUGCGAAAGUGAGCGAAUCCCAAAAAGUGCGUCGUAGUCCGGAUUGGAGUCUGCAACUCGACUCCAUGAAGUCGGAAUCGCUAGUAAUCGUGGAUCAGAAUGCCACGGUGAAUACGUUCCCGGGCCUUGUACACACCGCCCGUCACACCAUGGGAGUGGGCUGCAAAAGAAGUAGGUAGUUUAACCUUCGGGGGGACGCUUACCACUUUUG